CAUAUGGGAGUUAAAAAUAAAGACUAAAAGUAAGAAAAUAUUGAGGAAAAAGUAAAAUGAAUACUAGAGCUUCCAAAUUUUCACCAGAAAAUGAGGAAUUCAGGCAAGGGGUGGUUUUUUCCCUCUUGGAAAAAGAAGCAGAAUGAGAAAGGACAUGAGAGAUCUUGGGAGUAAACAGAUCUUGAUUUGAGAGGAUCUGAAACCACUAUGUGGUAAGACACACUGCUAGGAACAUUUAUACAUUUUCUUUAUUUUCUCUUUGGUCUUUCUUAGUAUUUAGUUAACUCUUCUAAUGAAAAUAUCCAUCACGACUAGACUCGGGCAUGGCACACCAAGGGGAUAGCUGUGGUGACUGGCCAAACUGGGAAAUGUCUGCACAUCACUCUUCCUAUCUCCAGAGACUAUUUUCAGAUUGAAAUCUGCAGGGUCUGAAUUUCCAUCUAUUUCGGGAAGUCACAUUCCACUAUUAAGAUCUGCUGUUUUUUUCUUGGACGUCUUCCUGGUAUGGCAUGCUCCAAGGAAGAUCAACAAUAUAGUAUUAGCAUAUUUCCGAAAGCCUAUGGACAAGGUAGAUUUCUGGUGCAGCCCCACCCGUACUGGUCAGAGGCCAUGAGCAUCAAGACUGAAUGUAAAACACACCAGUGCAUAAUGAAAAGCUCAGAAAGGAAAGCUCUUAUGAGCAUGAUCACAAGGACUCUGUGAAGGAAGAUUGUGGUACAUAUAGAAAGUCAUUAUUUUUCCACAUGUGUUGUAACCUGUGUUUAUGCUACACCAAAAGAGCAUGGAGAGAGAGCAAGACAGCAAUUCAAAAACGUGGCCAGGGAUGACUUGAAAAAAUGCAGAACUCCACAACACAAUGGGUAGCACUUUUAAUUAAAUUUGUAGUCGACUGAUAAUAAAAUUGAUAAUUUGAC
Molecule: long non-coding RNA, 914 nt
Filed under: Macaca mulatta (Rhesus monkey)
Lineage: Eukaryota; Metazoa; Chordata; Mammalia; Primates; Cercopithecidae
Description: lncRNA (ENSMMUG00000054712.1)
Source: RNAcentral